This 148-nucleotide non-coding RNA is filed under the name Pan troglodytes (chimpanzee). The record is from Rfam by way of RNAcentral. Lineage: Eukaryota; Metazoa; Chordata; Mammalia; Primates; Hominidae.
GCUGGGUGUGGUGGCGUGCACCUGUAAUCCCAGCUACUUGGGAGGCUGAGGCUGGAGAAUCGCUUGAACCCAGGAGGCAGAGGCUGCAGUGAGCCGAGAUGGCACCACUGCACUGUUGCCUGGGUGACAGAGCAAGACUUGGUCUCAA